RNAcentral lists this transfer RNA (69 nucleotides) under Bos taurus (domestic cattle). It matches the Rfam family "tRNA". From Rfam's summary of the family: Transfer RNA (tRNA) molecules are approximately 80 nucleotides in length. Their secondary structure includes four short double-helical elements and three loops (D, anti-codon, and T loops). RNAcentral also lists the same sequence under 4 other names. The record is from Rfam by way of RNAcentral. Lineage: Eukaryota; Metazoa; Chordata; Mammalia; Artiodactyla; Bovidae.
CCUGGUGGCUUAGAUGGUAAAGAAUCUGCUUGUAAUGCAGGAGACCUGGGUUUGAUCCCUGGGUCAGGA